RNAcentral lists this ribosomal RNA (400 nucleotides) under phytoplankton environmental sample. Its description in RNAcentral is "partial small subunit ribosomal RNA". It matches the Rfam family "Eukaryotic small subunit ribosomal RNA", at positions 587 to 943 of the family's 1831-position model. The record is from RNAcentral.
AGCUCCAAUAGCGUAUAUUAAAGUUGUUGCGGUUAAAAAGCUCGUAGUCCGAGCUCAGUUCCGGACUGGCCGGGGAGGUCACCUCACGGUUCCUUUCCUGCGCCAGGCUCCGAACCUAGGCCCCCGCCUGCGCGGGGGUCGCACGCCGGUGCUCGCCGGGGUGCUCUUGACCGAGUGUCCCGCGCGGCCGGCCAGUGCACCUUGAAUAAAGGAGAGUGCUCAAAGCAGGCUACUCUACUACUGUUAAGCCCGAAUGUUACCUGCAUGGAAUGCUGGAAGAUGAUCUCGGUUCCAUUUUAGUGGCUCUGGGAAUCCGAGUUAAUGAUAAACAGGGACUGUCGGGGGCAUUCGUACUACGACGCGAGAGGUGAAAUUCAGUGACCGUCGUAGGACGAACUAC